UUCCCUACGGGAGGCAGCAGUGAGGAAUAUUGGUCAAUGGGCGCGAGCCUGAACCAGCCAAGUCGCGUGAGGGAUGAAGGAUCUAUGGUUCGUAAACCUCUUUUAUAAGGGAAUAAAGUGCGGGACGCGUCCCGCUUCGCAUGUACCUUAUGAAUAAGGAUCGGCUAACUCCGUGCCAGCAGCCGCGGUAAUACGGAGGAUCCGAGCGUUAUCCGGAUUUAUUGGGUUUAAAGGGUGCGUAGGCGGACUUUCAAGUCAGCGGUGAAAGCCUGUGGUUCAACCAUAGUAUUGUUGUUGAAACUGGG
Molecule: ribosomal RNA, 305 nt
Filed under: uncultured bacterium
Lineage: Bacteria
Description: bacterial SSU rRNA
Rfam family: Bacterial small subunit ribosomal RNA
Source: RNAcentral